RNAcentral lists this ribosomal RNA (577 nucleotides) under Acaulospora scrobiculata. Its description in RNAcentral is "bacterial SSU rRNA". It matches the Rfam family "Eukaryotic small subunit ribosomal RNA", at positions 548 to 1750 of the family's 1831-position model. Lineage: Eukaryota; Fungi; Glomeromycota; Glomeromycetes; Diversisporales; Acaulosporaceae. The record is from RNAcentral.
GUGGAGGGCAAGUCUUGUGCCAGCAGCGCGGUAAUUCCAGCUCCAAUAGCGUAUAUUAAAGUCGUUGCAGUUAAUAAGCAUUUCUGAGUUCGUAGUUGAUUAUCGGUUGGUCGGGCUUCGCUGUCCGCACUGCCCUGAUUGAUUCCUCCCUUCUGAAUAACCAGCAUGCUAUUAAGUUAGGCGUUGGGGAAGAAGAGCUACUACCUUGAAAGAUUAGUGUGCUUAAUGUUGGCUUAUAGCGUGAAUAGAUUAGCAUGGAAUAAUAAAAUAGGACGCAUUGUUCUAUUGUGUUGGUUUCUUGGAUCCCCGUAAUGAUUAAUAGGGAUAGUUGGGGGCAUUAGUAUUCAUUUGUCAGAGGUGUAAUUCUUGGAUGUAUUGAAGACUAACUUUUGCGAAAGGAUUUGCCAAGGAUGUUUUCUGCUUUUCAACGAGGAAUCCCUCGUAAGCGUGAGUCAUCGGCUCACGUUGAUUACGUCCUUGCCCUUUGUACAUACCGCCCGUCGCUACUACCGAUUGAAUGGCUUAGUGAGACUCUCGGAUCGGCUUUUUGGAACUGGCAACGGUCCCUUUUAUCUGA